Molecule: ribosomal RNA, 996 nt
Filed under: Plasmodium cf. vivax FP-2013
Lineage: Eukaryota; Apicomplexa; Aconoidasida; Haemosporida; Plasmodiidae
Description: SSU rRNA
Rfam family: Eukaryotic small subunit ribosomal RNA
Source: RNAcentral
GUUAAAACGNUCGUAGUUGAAUUUCARAGCGAUAUUUUANNUAACGCUUUUAGCUUAAUCCACAUAACUGAUACUUCGUAUCGACUUUGUGCGCAUUUUGCUAUUAUGUGUUCUUUUAAUUAAAAUGAUUCUUUUUAAGGGUUUUCCUCACUUCGGUGUUGAUUCCCUUGUUACUUUGAGUAAAUUAGAGUGUUCAAAGCAAACAGAUAUAGCAUUGCGCGUUUGAAUACUACAGCAUGGAAUAACAAAAUUGAACAAGUCAGAAUUUUGUUCUUUUUUCUUAUUUUGGCUUAGUUACGAUUAAUAGGAGUAGCUUGGGGGCAUUUGUAUUCAGAUGUCAGAGGUGAAAUUCUUAGAUUUUCUGGAGACAAACAACUGCGAAAGCAUUUGCCUAAAAUACUUCCAUUAAUCAAGAACGAAAGUUAAGGGAGUGAAGACGAUCAGAUACCGUCGUAAUCUUAACCAUAAACUAUGCCGACUAGGCUUUGGAUGAAAGAUUUUAAAAUAAGAAUUUUCUCUUCGGAGUUUAUUCUUAGAUUGCUUCCUUCAGUGCCUUAUGAGAAAUCAAAGUCUUUGGGUUCUGGGGCGAGUAUUCGCGCAAGCGAGAAAGUUAAAAGAAUUGACGGAAGGGCACCACCAGGCGUGGAGCUUGCGGCUUAAUUUGACUCAACACGGGAAAACUCACUAGUUUAAGACAAGAGUAGGAUUGACAGAUUAAUAGCUCUUUCUUGAUUUCUUGGAUGGUGAUGCAUGGCCGUUUUUAGUUCGUGAAUAUGAUUUGUCUGGUUAAUUCCGAUAACGAACGAGAUCUUAACCUGCUAAUUAGCGGCAAAUACGAUAUAUUCUUACGUGGGACUGAAUACGGUUGAUUUGCUUACUUUGAAGAGAAUAUUGGGAUACGUAACAGUUUCCCUUUCCCUUUUCUACUUAGUUUGCUUUUCAUACUGUUUCYUUUUCGCGUAAGAAUGUAUUUGCUUGAUNGUAAAGCUCUAGAGA